Non-coding RNA from Pelobates cultripes (western spadefoot toad), 291 nucleotides. Lineage: Eukaryota; Metazoa; Chordata; Amphibia; Anura; Pelobatidae. The record is from the annotation of a GenBank genome assembly.
CCUGCUCACACCCGGCUAGUAACCAAGGACGACAUCACACUCUCAGCGCGAUGCAUACAAGAGGCAUCGGGGAUACUGAGACAGCUUGAUCUACCCACGGACUCACUAUCCCUGCCAAGGCCAGCGGAAUGACCCAAGAACCCGCUGAACUGGGACGCAGCCAGCGUGGCGGAAUUUGUCCCCAGACAACCGACCGGAGCACCCACAGCCGUAUCUACCCCGUGAAGAAACUGCUGGGACCAUCUUUCACAACCUGUCUAACCACCAACUGGCUUAAAUAGACUGGCUACC